This is a long non-coding RNA of Pan troglodytes (chimpanzee), 818 nucleotides long. RefSeq lists it as uncharacterized. NCBI's taxonomy places the organism in Eukaryota, Metazoa, Chordata, Mammalia, Primates, Hominidae. The record is from RefSeq and is a predicted model, not a curated record. The transcript has 3 exons.
UCCUUUCAAGAAGGGUAGUUUGGAGAGUAGAACGGCCUAAAAGUCUGGUGGGCGUGGACGGAGAAGAGGAAGCUGGGAGAGGAGACUCCGAACCUCCGAGGCUCAAGCGGCGCGCAUUUGCGGCCGAGGCUUCAGGGGACACGGCCAGCAGGGGGCGCGGCCCGGCGAGCUCGCUCCCAGGAGGCGCAUGCUGUAGGAGACCGCAGAGUCGGCUGCGUCAGCAGGCAAUGGCCUUGGAGCACCGGCCUGAGCUACCCAGGGAGACGGUGGAUCUCCAGGAAACCGCGAGUGCCUAGGAGCCCCUCCCCACCUUUUCCGGGGAAGCCCUGGUCGGAGCGAGCCGGUUGGGUGCUUCCAUUAGCCCUAUCUGACAGAGGAGGGGAGUGAGGCCCAGAGAAGUGAAGUGACUUGCCCAAGGUCAUCUAGCCAGGAGAUGAGAAAAGCAAGGCUCAAGAGAGGAUGAGUGAUGGGCUCAAAGAUGCACAGUGAGUGACUGAACAAAGAUGAAAACCCAGGGCUGCUGGGUCCCUCGUUCAAUAUUGUCCAAAAUCACUGGAAAGGGAGGAAGCGGAUUUUAAAUUUGACUCUCAUUUGUGUGUGUAUGCAAGUCCUCUCUAAAAGGACUUAGGAGAAGCUAGGGAGAGUGUUUACCUACAGGGAGGAGACUGGACACCGGAAGGUUGUGGAAGGUUGUGGAAGGGUGUGGUAUGGCGUGGGAAGGACACUCUUUACUGGUACUCCUUUGUAUCUCUUGAAUGAAUUAAGGCAUGUAUUACCUCUUUAACAACCAAAUAAAAGUUGAUCCAGUUCUUUCCUUC